This is a non-coding RNA of Aegilops tauschii subsp. strangulata, 4869 nucleotides long. NCBI's taxonomy places the organism in Eukaryota, Viridiplantae, Streptophyta, Magnoliopsida, Poales, Poaceae. The record is from RefSeq and is a predicted model, not a curated record.
CUUUCAGACAUUUCAACAGUUUAUUUUUCUAGAAGCAGCCGGUCAGUUGGUGCUAGUGCAAGGUUAGCUAAGCCGUUACGCAAGAGAUAUCGUAGCCCCCAUACUGGACCCGUGCUCACGCCAUGGGUGGACCUUUGGAACACAUCGGUCCAUGGUGUCCAGGCAUCAAUCACUUGACCCGUGCUCACGCCACUACUUACCUGCCAUGGGCCAGUUACGAGCUGUUGCAUCCUUCCGCAGAUGUUUGUUUACCAGUGCUGGUGUUGACGGUUUUUGCCGCGAGCCAACAUGGAAACGGUGGAGUGAGACUCGACUCAAACGCACCGUUCACCGUUACUUCGGCGAUGACCGCGGCGAACAAAGUGAGCCGAGCAGCGCGCCAGAGCCCAGAGCGAAGCCAACAGCACACCCCAGCUGCGGAGCUGCCAGUCCAAACCGGCAACCGCGGCCCAAGCCGCCGUCUCUCACCUGACCUGACCAAACUCCCGCCGCGUCCCAUCCUCGCGCGAACCCACCCGCCACUCCCGGACGCACCGAGGCGAGGCGAUGCCGGGGCCGGGGGCGCACCUGCUGUACGCGCUGUCCGGCGGGGCAGCGCUCUCGCGGCUCGCCGGCGGUGGCCGCCGCUUCGGCCCGCACCACUGCGCCGUCUACGCCGCCAACGCCUUCCUCGGCCCGGACCUCGGCGCCUUCGCCGAGUGGCUCGCGUCCUUCCUCCCCGCCGCCGCCGCCGCCGCCGCCGCGGGGGACCUCGCCAUGGCCGCCGUCCACCACCCCUUCUACUACCCGCUCCUCCUCGGCCUCCCGCUCGCAUGCCUCUACGCGUGGCUCUCCCGCUGGCUGCUCCGCGCCGGCCUCCUCGACGCGCCCGCCGGGGUAGCAUUAAGCAGAAGACAGUGCUUCUUGCUAAUCGCAGCCGGCUCGCUCUCCCACUUCUUCUUGGAUCACUUGUUUGAGGAAAAUGGCCAUUCUACAAUGUAUACUUGGAUACUGAGCACUGGUUGGUGGAAAGGACGCGCUCCUAUCAAUCCAGAUGCAGUGUUUGUUGUCGGCCUUCUUUGCGUUUGCCUCAUUGGGGGAUUUGUGUACAUUAACAGAGUGGAGCAUGGAAAGUCAGUGACUGAAAAGUCAAAUCAAUCUUUCUUUCUCAUCCUGGUGAUAGCCACCCUGUACUGUAUGUGGUGUGCCAGCCAGAUAUACCUGCGAAAUCCCCCUCAACCCGCCAUAGAGCCUUCUCUAGCCUAGACACAACUUGCUCCAUGGAUGGUCGCUGCUGCUUGUGGCCGGUGCAUGACAGAGCAAGCUUCAGGCAGAGAUCAAAUGCGUCUACCGAGUAUUCGCCCUUGAGCCUAGGAUCGGCAAAUUCCAACACAUUUCCCUCUCUGAUGAGCAAAGAAGCCUGAGAGCAAAAGGAGCUGCAGGAGCACCAUACCAAAGCUGUAUACAUCCCCUGCAGCAUUCACCCUGUGGUUGUGGCGGUACUCUGGGUCGACGUAGCCAAAAGUUCCUCUAACUUCAGAGCUCACGUGGGAUACGCCUAUGUCGAUGACUCUCGACAGUCCAAAGUCCGCGAGUUUGGGCUCCAUAUCAACCCCAAGAAGUAUAUUUGUUGGCUACAAUAAGAUCCUUCAGGGAAUAUGUGAAGGAACCAAAGGCCGCAAGCACUGCCAAGUGCGAUCUGAAGUCUCUGAGUCCAUGACAGGCUCUUAUCCUUCCCUGUCAUCAAAUUGUUACUUUUAGUCAUAGAGAACAUUACAUAAUACAUCCUGUAGUCUCCUCAAAUAUGUACUUACCAAAUAGCCAUUCUGAUAGGUUACCAUUGACGCAUAGCUCAUACACAAGAAAGCACUCUUCCUGCCCAUCACAGUAACCUCUUAAUGACACAAGGUUUGGAUGCUUGACAUGUGAGAGGCUUGUAACUUCCCUUACGAAGGUUUCUGCAUGUUCAUUCUUAAUUAUGUGCUUCACGGCAACAGGCCAGCCAUUUGCAAGCAUUCCUUUGUACACUUUCCCUGCAAAUCACAUCAGGCUUUGUUCGGUUAAUCCCAACCCCAGGUGGAUUGGAGGGGAUUUGCAGGGAUUUUGGCUUGCAGGGGAUUAAUUCCUCCUCAAUCCCCUUCAAAUCCACCUCAACCGAACAAGCCCUCAGGAAGGUGCACCCAACUCUUAGAACAACAAUAGCCUACUGAAUGUGGUCACUAAUUACUUUUUACUCCUUCUGUCCGGAAUUAGUUGACGCUCAAACAGACGGAGGAAGUACUUAUCAUGUUGUAUCCCAGUUCUGCUCUCUGCGUCUCUAUCUGAUUCAUGGAUAAUGAUCUUAAUUCUGAAAUUGGCUAGUAUUGUUAUGUACCUGCAAUUCCCUGCCCGAUGAUGUUUGAAAGGUGUAAGUUCUCAGUUGCAGCGUAUAUCUCUUUGACUGACAUCUGCUUGCAGGUAACCUCCUCAUACUCAACAGACGCCGUACCAACCUCUGCAACAUAAAGAUGCCAAAUUGCAUACCUCUAUUAGCAAUAAAUGACGACAAACCCGAUGAUCACCGCCGCGACGAGGCACCCAAGCAGUACUUCAUAUCCUGCAUACUCUCAGAAGGCAAUGAAUUUCAAGGCACGGGUAGAAAGGAAGGGGAAAAGGCAGCAAUGAUGAAUAGCCAUUGCCGGCCAAGGGCCAGAACGGAAGAAGCCAAAGCACGGAAAAAUAUUGGAUCAAGGAAUCGGGCCGGGUCCGGACCAGAAGACGGCAUCAACUGAGUCUCAUCUUCAUAUGAGCCAAACUAUAAAACAAUAAGGUUGCGUCCAUCAAAAGAGCAACAACUGGAGCAAGACAUAUGGCGUUGGGGUAUAAUGCUUGAACGACCACUGGAUCAUCAGGAGAGCCAAGGGCCAAGCCUGGACUGGAACCUCCAAGAAAGAACCAGCAUUCGCACUGAUCAACUGGCAAGAUGCAAAUUCAGAUUGCAUUACAAGCCUCCGAUGAAGUGAAGCGAGAUGUUCGAUGGACAAAGACAAUACACCCCAAAGUUGUUACGCCCUCUGCCUUUUAUGAUGCAACAGCACAUCUACCAAUCAUGUGCACACGCAAUAGCGCUUUCAACAGGAGAUGGCAGCAUUAUCAUGCUUAGAGAUUAAGGAUGCGCCACUGCUGCUACAAAAACGAAGAAAUUCAAGCUACAUGGCACAACAAGUCCCCGCUUUUGGAUUCUUUUGUUCCAAAUGGGUCAUGGCACAGGACCACCAUAACGAUCGGCUAAACUAAAGAAAUAAUUUUGCACAACCUUGGAGCAAACAGAUUUUGUUGUCAUGCCUGUGCCGAAGCGUGUGGAAUGGAGCUUCAAAUACAAUAUUCAAGAUCAAACCGAACAACUACACCAACAUCCAAGUGAAGGUGUGUUCUUUAACUCUAUGGAACACACUAAAAGUAUGUGUACUGUUCAAUCAAGGAACAAAUACCACAAAACUGUAAACAUAUUGAUAUCUGAGCAUGUUUUCACUUGAAGAUAAGCUUAAAUGAUGAACUUGGCUCAUAGUCAGGGCAUUGUUUUAGUAAUAAAUAAUAUGAUUAUGUGCAUCAGUCCAUGCAAAGCCUAGAGGUUAUCCACCUUUCCAAGAAAAAGGAACCGUACUUUUGAGAAACCUGCCUCACUCCACACAAAAUACAAUAGACUUGCCCCGGGUCUAUUUGUAUGGGGAAUGGAUGUUAUCAUAAUCAAACUUUCGGAAAAGGUUUGCCGUGGAAACAGUGCGGCCAACUCCAAAUGCGUGGGGCUCCGCCUUAGUUUUGGGUGGCCGGAGGUUUCCUCUGUUUUUGAUUCUUGUAGAAAUUCAAGCUACAUGGCACAACAAGUCCCCGCUUUUGAAUUCUUUUGUUCCAAAUGGGUCAUGGCACAGGACCACCCUAACGAUAGGCUAAACUAAAGAAAUAAUUUUGCAUAACCUUGGAGCAAACAGAUUUUGUUGUCAUGCCUGUGCCGUAAGGAAAAUUUACAAUCCCUAUUGUUAUUAACUUACAAAACAGGUUUUGAGCUUUUGCACUAAUCUUUCAUGAGAAGCAAUUGUACUUAAGAGUUUCAUGGUGAACAUUGAAAGUGCAUCCGAGUAUAACUUCUAUAAGAGAGUUAUUUGCUUCAACUCCAAGCACGAUGACUUACUCAAAUCUUCAUCAACAAGAAGCUUGUGGAAUGGAGCUUCAAAUACAAUAUUCAAGAUCAACCGAAAAACUACACCAACAUCCAAGUGAAGGUGUGUUCUCUAACUCUAUGGAACACACUAAGUAUGUGCAUUUUUUUUUCCGGGCAAAUCAGAGAGCUUUAUUCAGAUAAGAGCAUUCCCCGGACAAUCAGCCAGAAGGCUGGUCACAAGGAAGCUAGGGGUCUCAGCAAGCCAUGUUUCGGUCACAUUCAAGAUCGGAGCCACAAUAGACCGGGAAUUGUGGCGAGUUCUCCAGAGGGUCACCAGCUCCAAACAGUCUACCUCUAUUAUCACAUGCAGGAAGCCUCGAAGCGUGGCAAAGCGAACUCCUUCCCGCAGCGAAAAAGCCUCAAUGAUCAGGGGAUCAGUCGACACCCCUAAAUAUGGUUUACUCCAUGCUCCCAGAAACGCAGUAGACGAACGGGCGACUCCACCUGCACCCCCUCGUCCUUCUACCAAGUUCAGCGCUCCAUCCGUGGUGAUUUUAACAACACCCGCAUCGGGUGAUCGCCAUCCAAAGCCCGGCAGGACCAAAGCCUCCUUCCUAGGAAGCUGUAACAGAGCUAUCACUUCUUUUGUUGCUCGAAUGGUUGCGACUGGAUCUCGUCCUGUCUCCCCAUGUUUAAUCCGAUUUCUGGAAUGCCAUAUAGACCACAUAAUAGUUGUGAUCUUUGCCCGGUCA